Molecule: ribosomal RNA, 550 nt
Filed under: Bacillus sp. CH314_11T
Lineage: Bacteria; Bacillati; Bacillota; Bacilli; Caryophanales; Bacillaceae
Description: bacterial SSU rRNA
Rfam family: Bacterial small subunit ribosomal RNA
Source: RNAcentral
GGCGGACGGGUGAGUAACACGUGGGCAACCUGCCUGUAAGACUGGGAUAACUUUCGGGAAACCGGAGCUAAUACCGGAUAAUAUAAAGAACCUCCUGGUUCUUUAUUGAAAGAUGGUUUCGGCUAUCACUUACAGAUGGGCCCGCGGCGCAUUAGCUAGUUGGUGAGGUAAUGGCUCACCAAGGCGACGAUGCGUAGCCGACCUGAGAGGGUGAUCGGCCACACUGGGACUGAGACACGGCCCAGACUCCUACGGGAGGCAGCAGUAGGGAAUCUUCCACAAUGGACGAAAGUCUGAUGGAGCAACGCCGCGUGAGCGAUGAAGGCCUUCGGGUCGUAAAGCUCUGUUGUUAGGGAAGAACAAGUGCGAGAGUAACUGCUCGCACCUUGACGGUACCUAACCAGAAAGCCACGGCUAACUACGUGCCAGCAGCCGCGGUAAUACGUAGGUGGCAAGCGUUGUCCGGAAUUAUUGGGCGUAAAGCGCGCGCAGGUGGUCCUUUAAGUCUGAUGUGAAAGCCCACGGCUCAACCGUGGAGGGUCAUUGGAAA